AGUGAGGUGGCGAACGGGUGAGUAACACGUGAGUAACCUGCCCGUCUUCUUUGGGAUAACGCCCGGAAACGGGUGCUAAUACUGGAUAUUCACUGAUCUUCGCAUGGGGGUUGGUGGAAAGGUUUUUUCUGGUGGGGGAUGGGCUCGCGGCCUAUCAGCUUGUUGGUGGGGUGAUGGCCUACCAAGGCUUUGACGGGUAGCCGGCCUGAGAGGGUGACCGGUCACAUUGGGACUGAGAUACGGCCCAG
RNAcentral lists this ribosomal RNA (248 nucleotides) under uncultured bacterium. RNAcentral describes it as "partial 16S ribosomal RNA". It matches the Rfam family "Bacterial small subunit ribosomal RNA", at positions 89 to 334 of the family's 1533-position model. The record is from RNAcentral.